Molecule: non-coding RNA, 101 nt
Organism: Fusarium sp. DS 682
Lineage: Eukaryota; Fungi; Ascomycota; Sordariomycetes; Hypocreales; Nectriaceae
Source: the annotation of a GenBank genome assembly
GGGCGAAUGGGUUAGUGGUAUAAUACUCCCUUAGCAUGAUUUGGCUGUUCGACAGAUGGUCUGGGAGUGGUCCAGGGUUCGUUCGAUUCCCUGUUCGUCCA